RNAcentral lists this long non-coding RNA (204 nucleotides) under Gossypium barbadense (sea-island cotton). RNAcentral describes it as "long non-coding RNA (GBAR_LNC010384)". Lineage: Eukaryota; Viridiplantae; Streptophyta; Magnoliopsida; Malvales; Malvaceae. The record is from RNAcentral.
CCAAAAGUGUGAAGUCUAUUGUGCAAAUUUGGUCACUUUUGCUCUUAGUGCCAAAACUAAUUUGUGCUGAUUCUUUUUUCGGUUUUUGCCAAAGAAUUCUCUCUUGGUUCCUUGCACUUUUUGGUAGGGGCCGAAUAUUGCUUGGUCAUUCGGGUAAUUUUUGCUUUGCUCUAAAAUUUUUGGUGCUGUCUUUUUUGACCAUUU